GAUGAACGCUAGCGGCAGGCCUAAUACAUGCAAGUCGGACGGUAUUGGAGAGCUUGCUUUCCAUGAGAGUGGCGCACGGGUGCGUAACACGUAUGUAACCUACCUUGUUCAGGGGGAUAGCCUCUCGAAAGAGAGAUUAAGACCGCAUAACAUUGCGAUGUGGCAUCACAUUGUAAUCAAAUAUUUAUAGGAACAAGAUGGGCAUGCGAAACAUUAUCUAGUUGGUAAGGUAACGGCUUACCAAGGCUACGAUGUGUAGGGGAUCUGAGAGGCUUGCCCGCAACACUGGUACUGAGACACGGACCAGAGUCCUACGGGAGGCAGCAGUAAGGAAUAUUGGUCAAUGGGCGGAAGCCUGAACCAGGCAUGCCGCGUGCAGGAAGACGGCCCUAUGGGUUGUAAACUGCUUUUGCAGGGGAAUAAACCUUGGUACGUGUACCAAGCUGAAUGUACUCUGAGAAUAAGGAUCGGCUAACUCCGUGCCAGCCGCCGCCGUAA
Molecule: ribosomal RNA, 498 nt
Filed under: uncultured bacterium
Lineage: Bacteria
Description: partial 16S ribosomal RNA
Rfam family: Bacterial small subunit ribosomal RNA
Source: RNAcentral